Nerophis lumbriciformis (worm pipefish) is the source of this 71-nucleotide non-coding RNA. NCBI's taxonomy places the organism in Eukaryota, Metazoa, Chordata, Actinopteri, Syngnathiformes, Syngnathidae. The record is from the annotation of a RefSeq genome assembly.
GCAUUGGUGGUUCAGUGGUAGAAUUCUCACUUGCUAUGCAAGAGGCCUGGGUUCGAUUCCCAGCCAAUGCA